Molecule: ribosomal RNA, 256 nt
Filed under: uncultured bacterium
Lineage: Bacteria
Description: partial 16S ribosomal RNA
Rfam family: Bacterial small subunit ribosomal RNA
Source: RNAcentral
UACGUAGGAUGCAAGCGUUGUCCGGAAUUAUUGGGCGUAAAGAGCGCGCAGGCGGUAUGACAAGUCAGAUGUGAAAGAGGCCGGCUUAACCGGCAAGGGUCAUUUGAAACUGUCAGACUAGAGUGCAGCAGAGGAUAGUGGAAUUCCCGGUGUAGUGGUGAAAAUGCUGUAGAUAUCGGGGAGGAACACCAGUGGCGAAGGCGACUAUCUGGGCUGCAACUGACGCUGAGGCGCGAAGGCUAGGGUAGCAAACAGG